This 328-nucleotide long non-coding RNA is filed under the name Mytilus galloprovincialis (Mediterranean mussel). The record is from RNAcentral. Lineage: Eukaryota; Metazoa; Mollusca; Bivalvia; Mytilida; Mytilidae.
GUAAGUAAGGGGGAAGGAAACCAAUGUUUUGUUCUGUACAAUAUUUUCUUCUGUUUCUAUUUAUUAGGCACUCCCAUUUGGGAUAAAUGGGUUUCAUGCUGAAUCAAAUAUUAUCACAGACAUUGACAUAGUGUACUUGGGUGUUUAUAAUAUUUACAAAAAAACGGUGCGGGAAAUGGACACGAUUACAUUUCCGAAUGCGGGAAGCGGGAAUAUAAAAAAAAAAAAAAAUCUACUUUGAAAAAAAUAGGUGCGGGCGGGUCCGUCGAACAAGGAAUUAAAUUGGUGUGGCCUUAGAUUGUUUUCUUCAUCUCUAUAAAUUUUUUCC